AUGUCUGUGAGCAUUCUUAGAGUCAUGAAUCAUGACGACAAAUUUAAUUCUGAGAUCAACAUCAUAAAGUAUCCAGUGACAGCGAUAAGAAGUAGUCUUUUAUAAGUCGGUAAAUGUAAAUAAAAAUUGACUAGGAAGUCAUUUUCAAUCAAAAAGCAGCUCACAAGAUGACUACACAUAUGUAUGUAUGUAUAUAUGUAAGAAGAAAGUGUGACAGAAUAAGGACCAUGUAGGUGAGGGAUAAGAUGAAAUGAGCAGAAGCAGGCAGAAUACAUAGAUGAGCGAACGGAACAUCAAUCUCUUUAUAACCUCUUCUGUCUAUACUUCAAGAAUGGAUAUCCUACAAGCCGACUUCGUAGAGUCUCCCUUGAAAGUGGACCUCGUGAUCUAGCCUUUAUGUCCGUGGAUAGACACUGUUGUAUAUAUACACUUCCUCGGUUUCGAGAUUCCUGCUCUGGUGGUUGUAGUCAUAAGAUAUACAUAGUUGUGUAGUCAUUGCUCACAUCUUGGUUGUGGGCACACACACUAGUGUUGAAUUACCACCUUGUCCAAGUGGAUGGAUGCCCUCAAUGGGAUUGGCACAUUCUCCAUUGCUCCUGCGCUCUGUUAUCAGCACUUCGGGUUUAUAAUGUACACACAGCAACAGAUGCCUUCCUCACUGGUCACCAGGUUCACGGUCCCUCAUAUGUGUCCGGUGCAUAGUCACCAAAAAAGGCCAACUUCAGAUCAAUGGGUGGAUCGGAUUGUACCUCGGCCUAAGCUCCAGGGUUGAUUGUGCUGUUACAGUCACAGCUACAACCGGCUCAGGGAACCCAGUAGAAGAGGAGGUGGAGUGUGAGAGUCAAUUGGAAUGGAAGACAUUGAGGAAACAAGGCCUUCAAGACACAAGAGGACCAAUGAGCUCACAGAGACUGAGGCAGCACCCUCAAGACCUGCACAGGUCUAAGCUUGGUGGGGUUUCAGCACUGAGAGGGCAACUGGACAUAAUUCUAUAUAUGGAGUGACACUGGAUAUAGAA
Molecule: long non-coding RNA, 1018 nt
Filed under: Mus caroli (Ryukyu mouse)
Lineage: Eukaryota; Metazoa; Chordata; Mammalia; Rodentia; Muridae
Description: lncRNA (MGP_CAROLIEiJ_G0013376.1)
Source: RNAcentral